CCUACGGAGUGCAGCAGUGAUGAAUAUUGGUCAAUGGGCGCGAGCCUGAUCCAGCCAAGUAGCGUGAAGGAUGACUGCCCUACGGGUUGUAAACUUCUUUUAUAAAGGAAUAAAGUGAGGCACGUGUGCCUUUUUGUAUGUACUUUAUGAAUAAGGAUCGGCUAACUCAGUGCCAGCAGCCGCGGUAAUACGGAGAAUCCGAGCGUUAUCCGGAUUUAUUGGGUUUAAAGGGAGCGUAGAUGGGUUGUUAAGUCAGGUGUGAAAGUUUGCGGCUCAACCGUAAAAUUGCAAUUGAUACUGGCAGUCGUGAGUACAGUUGAGGGAGGCGGAAUUCGUGGUGUAGCGGUGAAAUGCUUAGAUAUCACGAAGAACUCCGAUUGCGAAGGCAGCUUACUAAACUGCCACUGACAUUGAUGCUCGAAAGUGUGGGUAGCAAACAGGAUUAGAUACCCGUGUAGUC
This 460-nucleotide ribosomal RNA is filed under the name uncultured bacterium. RNAcentral's name for it is "partial 16S ribosomal RNA". It matches the Rfam family "Bacterial small subunit ribosomal RNA", at positions 338 to 795 of the family's 1533-position model. The record is from RNAcentral.